RNAcentral lists this ribosomal RNA (253 nucleotides) under uncultured bacterium. RNAcentral's name for it is "partial 16S ribosomal RNA". It matches the Rfam family "Bacterial small subunit ribosomal RNA", at positions 524 to 776 of the family's 1533-position model. The record is from RNAcentral.
UACGAAGGGGGCUAGCGUUACUCGGAUUGACUGGGCGUAAAGGGCGCGUAGGCGGCUUGUACAGUCAGACGUGAAAUUCCUGGGCUCAACCUGGGGGCUGCGUUUGAUACGUGCGGGCUUGAGUUCGGAAGAGGGUCGUGGAAUUCCCAGUGUAGAGGUGAAAUUCGUAGAUAUUGGGAAGAACACCGGUGGCGAAGGCGGCGACCUGGUCCGAUACUGACGCUGAGGCGCGAAAGCCAGGGGAGCGAACGGG